CAGUCGCCACGGUAAUACGUAGGUGGCAAGCGUUGUCCGGAAUUAUUGGGCGUAAAGGGCUCGCAGGCGGUUUCUUAAGUCUGAUGUGAAAGCCCCCGGCUCAACCGGGGAGGGUCAUUGGAAACUGGGAAACUUGAGUGCAGAAGAGGAGAGUGGAAUUCCACGUGUAGCGGUGAAAUGCGUAGAGAUGUGGAGGAGCACCAGUGGCGAAGGCGACUCUCUGGUCUGUAACUGACGCUGAGGAGCGAAAGCGUGGGGAGCGAACAGGAUUAGAUACCCCUGUAGUCCCUGUCUCUUAUAC
Molecule: ribosomal RNA, 301 nt
Filed under: uncultured bacterium
Lineage: Bacteria
Description: partial 16S ribosomal RNA
Rfam family: Bacterial small subunit ribosomal RNA
Source: RNAcentral